CAGUCGAGCGAAUCGAUGGGAGCUUGCUCCCUGAGAUUAGCGGCGGACGGGUGAGUAACACGUGGGCAACCUGCCUAUAAGACUGGGAUAACUUCGGGAAACCGGAGCUAAUACCGGAUACGUUCUUUUCUCGCAUGAGAGAAGAUGGAAAGACGGUUUACGCUGUCACUUAUAGAUGGGCCCGCGGCGCAUUAGCUAGUUGGUGAGGUAAUGGCUCACCAAGGCGACGAUGCGUAGCCGACCUGAGAGGGUGAUCGGCCACACUGGGACUGAGACACGGCCCAGACUCCUACGGGAGGCAGCAGUAGGGAAUCUUCCGCAAUGGACGAAAGUCUGACGGAGCAACGCCGCGUGAACGAAGAAGGCCUUCGGGUCGUAAAGUUCUGUUGUUAGGGAAGAACAAGUACCAGAGUAACUGCUGGUACCUUGACGGUACCUAACCAGAAAGCCACGGCUAACUACGUGCCAGCAGCCGCGGUAAUACGUAGGUGGCAAGCGUUGUCCGGAAUUAUUGGGCGUAAAGCGCGCGCAGGUGGUUCCUUAAGUCUGAUGUGAAAGCCCACGGCUCAACCGUGGAGGGUCAUUGGAAACUGGGGAACUUGAGUGCAGAAGAGGAAAGUGGAAUUCCAAGUGUAGC
RNAcentral lists this ribosomal RNA (637 nucleotides) under Peribacillus simplex. RNAcentral's name for it is "bacterial SSU rRNA". It matches the Rfam family "Bacterial small subunit ribosomal RNA", at positions 59 to 679 of the family's 1533-position model. The record is from RNAcentral. Lineage: Bacteria; Bacillati; Bacillota; Bacilli; Caryophanales; Bacillaceae.